RNAcentral lists this ribosomal RNA (253 nucleotides) under uncultured bacterium. RNAcentral describes it as "partial 16S ribosomal RNA". It matches the Rfam family "Bacterial small subunit ribosomal RNA", at positions 524 to 776 of the family's 1533-position model. The record is from RNAcentral.
UACGAAGGGGGCUAGCGUUGUUCGGAUUUACUGGGCGUAAAGCGCGCGUAGGCGGACGUUUAAGUCAGGGGUGAAAUCCCAGGGCUCAACCCUGGAACGGCCUUUGAUACUGGACGUCUGGAGAUCGGGAGAGGUUGGUGGAAUUCCGAGUGUAGAGGUGAAAUUCGCAGAUAUUCGGAGGAAUACCAGUGGCGAAGGCGGCUAACUGGACCAUUAUUGACGCUCAUGCACGAAAGCGUGGGGAGCAAACAGG